RNAcentral lists this ribosomal RNA (439 nucleotides) under uncultured bacterium. RNAcentral's name for it is "partial 16S ribosomal RNA". It matches the Rfam family "Bacterial small subunit ribosomal RNA", at positions 338 to 795 of the family's 1533-position model. The record is from RNAcentral.
CCUACGGGUGGCAGCAGUGGGGAAUAUUGCACAAUGGGGGAAACCCUGAUGCAGCGACGCCGCGUGAGUGAAGAAGUAUUUCGGUAUGUAAAGCUCUAUCAGCAGGGAAGAAAAUGACGGUACCUGACUAAGAAGCCCCGGCUAACUACGUGCCAGCAGCCGCGGUAAUACGGAGGAGGCGAGCGUUAUCCGGAUUUAUUGGGUUUAAAGGGUGCGUAGGCGGACAGUCAAGUCAGCGGUAAAAAUGCGGGGCUCAACCCCGUACAGCCGUUGAAAAUGGCAGUCUUGAGUGGGCGAGGGGUAUGCGGAAUGCGUGGUGUAGCGGUGAAAUGCGUAGAUAUCACGAAGAACUCCGAUGGCGAAGGCAGCAUACCGGCGCCCUACUGACGCUGAGGCACGAAAGCGUGGGUAUCGAACAGGAUUAGAUACCCUAGUAGUC